UGUGAACGCUGGCGGUAGGCCUAACACAUGCAAGUCGAACGGCAGCACAGUAAGAGCUUGCUCUUAUGGGUGGCGAGUGGCGGACGGGUGAGGAAUACAUCGGAAUCUACUUUUUCGUGGGGGAUAACGUAGGGAAACUUACGCUAAUACCGCAUACGACCUACGGGUGAAAGCAGGGGAUCUUCGGACCUUGCGCGAUUGAAUGAGCCGAUGUCGGAUUAGCUAGUUGGCGGGGUAAAGGCCCACCAAGGCGACGCUCCGUAGCUGGUCUGAGAGGAUGAUCAGCCACACUGGAACUGAGACACGGUCCGGACACCUACGGGAGGCAGCAGUGGGGAAUAUUGGACAAUGGGCGCGAGCAUGAUCCAGCCAUACCGCGUGGGUGAAGAAGGCCUUCGGGUUGUAAAGCCCUUUUGUUGGGAAAGAAAAGCAGCAGGUUAAUACCCCGCUGUUCUGACGGUAACCAAAGAAUAAGCACCGGCUAACUUCGUG
Molecule: ribosomal RNA, 492 nt
Filed under: uncultured bacterium
Lineage: Bacteria
Description: partial 16S ribosomal RNA
Rfam family: Bacterial small subunit ribosomal RNA
Source: RNAcentral